Molecule: ribosomal RNA, 253 nt
Filed under: uncultured bacterium
Lineage: Bacteria
Description: partial 16S ribosomal RNA
Rfam family: Bacterial small subunit ribosomal RNA
Source: RNAcentral
UACAGAGGGUGCAAGCGUUGUUCGGAAUUAUUGGGCGUAAAGAGCGUGUAGGCGGCCAUUCAGGUCAGCUGUGAAAACUCGAGGCUCAACCUCGAGACGUCGGUUGAAACCGUUUGGCUAGAGUCCGGAAGAGGAGAGUGGAAUUCCCGGUGUAGCGGUGAAAUGCGCAGAUAUCGGGAAGAACACCCGUGGCGAAGGCGGCUCUCUGGGACGGUACUGACGCUGAGACGCGAAAGCGUGGGGAGCGAACAGG